UGAUAAGCUCAAAAUCUGCAAAGUAGAUGAGCAGGCUGGAGGCGCAAGGAAGAGCUGGUACUGCAUCUCAAGACCAGAGAAAAAUCCAUUUGGUACCAUGGUAAAGAAGGAAGGUGAGGCUGGAUACAAAAAGGACAAACAGAAGAUGUUGACCAUAUCAAUGACAAGGGCCAACAUAAGAUGAGGAAACUGAAACAUACAGAGGUUAAAGAAGCUUCUUCAAGAUUGUUAGAAAGUCUUCAUGGUUUAUAUUUUAUAUAACACGAUUUGACACCGAAACCAAUGCUCCCAACCACUAACCUAUGGUGCAAAUUGGAGAGGAAUAAAGAAAAGGUUAAUGCCAAACUACUGGACAUCAUUCCAAAUCCAAGACAUAUAUAUGUACUUACAAGCUUUUGGAACAAUAACGACAACAACAACAAGAAUAAAUUGUCAAAUCAAACUUGAGACAGGAGGGAAACGUUUCAUCUCUGGUGACUAUUCUGUGUACUCUUUCCUUUUUAGAUCUGCAGCUUUAUAGAUUUCAGAUCCUCAGGUAGUGUUUAGAUCAAUCCCAACACAUGAUUUGCAGCAGUGGGAUCAGUUCCAGUACUUCACCUUCUGUGGGGCAAAUUUUCAUCCCUGCUUUCCAACAGUCCAUACUCCUGAAGACACAUCUCUCUCACUACUUUACAUUCCUUCCCUACACGGCAAGCUCACUUCUAUGUUUGGAGCAGAGGGGAUGAAUCAAAGUGUGAAUAGUUCAUCCUGUGAGCAGAGGGGAUGAAUCAAAGUGUGAAUAGUUCAUCCUGUUUAAACUGGAGGUCUACACAUAAAUUUUAAGCUACUGUUUUUCAGUAAAUUCUUCAUGCUGCUCUUGGGAAAGAAAACGUAAAAUAGGUAAAGAGGAGUGAAGGGGGAAAAGGGAUAAGGGAAUUUAGUGUGAGAGAGAUUUACUCAAAAUGGACUCCCAAACUAAAUUUGUGAUUAUUUACUAAAAGAUUUAUUCUUGAAUUUGAGAGAGAGAACUUAUUUUUAUAUUUUCUAACAUCUCCCGGGAAGGAGUGGGACACAGAUCAAUCAUUUGUUAGACACUGUCACCACGCUUUAUCUCAUACUUAACUAUUAAAGAAAACAAGAAGUGUUAAAUGUUCGCAGCAUUUUAAUGUUCUGUUAUCUUGGAAAAUUAAGAGAUAGAAAGAUGGAGGGAGAUGUGUGUGUGUGUUAUAAUAUUUUGCUUCUUUCAAGUUGUUUUUAUUUUGACAACUCAUCCAUAAAUAAUGUUCAUGAAUCAAUAUUCUGGAUUAUGAUUAUAUCAAACUUUUUAGACGUUAUCAACAAUUGCAAACAGCUCAACUUUUGUUGCAUAUCAACAAAUGGCACUCAAUAUUUUAACUUCCUACUUACCAGUGGUCCAUAAAGAUUGUAGUGAGAACAGUAUGAACAUUUUCAAAUGGGAUCAUGGCCCAAUUCCACUUUCCUUUUAGCUACCACUUUAUUAUUUUGUAUGCUAUUGCUAUUUUUUACCUGCAUUUGUGUUAUAUAAAUUGACUUAACCAAAAUACCAGGACUUCAUUUUAUUUUCCUGAACAAAAAUGCAUAGUAUAUAAAAAGAUGCUUAACAUCAUAUAUUAUUAAGAAUCUGCAAAUUAAUAUAACAAUGAGAUACUACUACAUGCCCGUUAGAAUGGCCAAAACACUGAUAUCACCAAAUGCUGGCAAAGAUGUGAAGCAACAGAAGCUUUCAUUCAUUGCUGGUGGAAAUAUAAUAUCAUACAGCAACUUUCAAAGGCAUUUUAACAAUGUUUUGUACGCAAAGAACAAAAUACGUUUUAUGACUCAAUCUGUAAUUUGAAAUCAUCUCCAUGUGAGAAUACAUUUAUUUAUAAUGUCUCAAGUACCCUUUUUGAACCGUAUUAAUAUUUUCAUUAAAUAUCUUCCUUGUUUCCUGAGACAUACAUCCUGAGGACUGUAGGAAUGAUUUUUCCAGAAACCACCAAGUAUACCCCAAGGAAAGCAAGUAACCAUUUGACCUUUGUAAUCUAUGUCUACCAUAAAAACCUGUCUGCUUCAAAACGUACUCAUUCUCAAAAUUCCUGAACACACAUUGAGUUUCAUAUUUGAAAUCAUGAUAUUGUAGGGAAUUGUCCUAAUCCAACCUUUUUCUUUCACAGAUUCCUCUGAAAACUAUAUAAAAUAGAAAGAGAUGGAGAAAUUACUGCAAAGGUUUUAUGUCUCAAAGUCCCUCACCACAGGUGGAAUAAUGAGUUUUUCUUGGCUAUUCACUCUUUGACAUAGGCUCAGACAUUUUUCUUCCAGCACAGCACAGCCCUUCCCCCAUUAUCAAGGAUCCAAUUCUCUAGCCCCAUUACCACAUACCUGAGUGACAAGAGCCUGACAAUCAUUGUUCUUCCUGCAUAGAGGUCAGCAUGCUAGUUUUAAAACAGAUGCCUAAAGCUGGCAUGGGCUUAGGGGGAGAAAUCAGGGUAGUCACUAUGCCAUUCAUCUUCUUACUCUAGCUCCUCUGCUUCUGUCUGAGCUGGAGCCUAGUAUCAGGCCCCUAAUCCUUCCUUUCUCUUAUUCACUGAUUAUGUAUAUGUAUGGAUUUGAAAAUAUUAAUCUAAGAUGGCAACAGAACAUAUAGCAAGCCAGAAUAAAAAUGUCCCUAUUCUAGACUUGUACUCGGUAGUUUUGUUAUCACUACUAUUCUUCUCAUAUACUCUUACUGUGUUUAUACUUGUCCUUAUAUACCUAUUUGAUUUAAUAGAUGCUACUCAUCACUCUUAUCAGCUUGAAAUACCUUAAAAACUUUCAUGAAUAAUGUGUUUUAUUGUGUCUCAGUUGUAUCCUUAGAUUCUGGUAACUUUAGCUUGCUUUUGAACAGUGAAAUUGGCAAAUAUCUGGUUGUUCUAACUCCCUGGUCUCCAUACCCAACUUUUCUGGUCUUACUUGUCUUUGGUGUCUAAUUGUUAAGGGUAACUAUAAUAGAACUUCUGGAGUCUGCACAGGCUUCAGAGUAUAGAGUCAAGUCUUUGGUUAAUUUUUAUUUCUUUGUUUCAAAAAAAUAGUUCAUAAGAUAAUUAUCUCUUAGUCUUUAUUUCCUUAUGAAUAUAAAGCAAAAAUCUAGUUACAGUCUAUUUUUCUGCUUUGAAUGUGUCCAUUGUUUUAAUAAUGUAUGCAUUCUUUCUUAUAGAGACUACACCAUAUAAUUGUGACAAAGAAUGGACAAAAUGGAAAUGGUUCUUUCUGUUUAAAAUAACACUUUGAGCUGGAAGACUGUAAUUUCUCUCUCCCUCAUAAUCUCUCUGUCAUUUCUCUCUCUCUCUCUCUCUCUCUCUCUCUCUCUCUCUCCAUGAAACAUCUUCAUGUAUCUAUCUUGUGUUACCUUAUAUAGUGUCUGGAUCAUAAGUAUGAUAAUUUUAAAAGAACACAGCAUGUCCCAAUACAUGUGUUCUUAUUAGGUGUGUUUGGAUCAUACUUAUAUCUCACGGCAAUUCCAGAAUCGAUGUGGAAGGUAGCUACACAAAGUCAUGAACACCAACAGGCAUGGUCUCCAAAAAGAGUCUAGUUCAAUUGCUUUAGAAAGGAAACAACAUCUGAAGUUCUUGGAAGAUCUUUACACUGACACAAAAUCGCCAAUAAAACUAAUAAAUGGUAGAAAUUAAUAUUUUCAAUAUUUAAGCAAAACAUUCAGUCAAGAUAAAAUCCCAUAUUUCAGUUGUUUAUCAUUAUUCUUUAUCUGGAUGUAGCCAUCUCUAUACAUUUAAAUCUUUAUCCCCUCUACAUUUUUAAUAUAAGGUUUAGUAUAAAGUUUUCUUAUUUUAGAUAAUGUACAUUUUAAAUAUGUUGCAAACAAUUUUCAUAUUAUAAAUGUUAAUGAUGCAGCAAGCUAAUGUAUGUCGAAAAAUGUAAAAGUCUACCUCUGCUUCCUCUCAAAGAAAAUAUAAUAAAUUUGUUUCUAUCUUAAUUUUCCAUAUGCUCUUAGUACAACUUACUGGGUUUUAAUUUCUUAUGAAGCUUCAUAAAAUAAAACUUCCCAUGCCACUGAAACACACACAAUUUUAUGCCAACAACUCAGAAGUUCCUUUAAGUAGAGAAAUGACCUAUCUGAGUAUCAAAACUGCUGUGCACAAAUAGCACAUCAUUUUAAAUUAAUGGCACAGCUAGCUACAAGAUAAAAAUUUUAAAUGAUAUUACAAGUUGGAGACACAUUUUAAGUGAAGCAUGAUAGUGGUGCUAAGAAGCAAUGCAAUUUCAUAUUUGAAUCAAAUAACAUUUCUAUAGCAUGUUGAUGGAAAGAAAAAUUCCCACAUAAGUUCACAGAGUAAAAUAGUUUCAAACGUUUUUAACAUGUGACCUACCUUCUUUGUUAUAAUUGCAAGAGUUUUAUGCCAGAAAAUAGAAAUCUAUGUUUUGUUUCAAACAAAUUAUUUUCUUCCUGUCAGCCUGUGUUUAAAAAUCAAAGUUUUAAAUGAUUAAAAACUCACUUUCUUAUUAAUUAAAAAUAACUUGACCAGAUUUAGUGGAAAACUUUAAUGGGUUAUCAGUAAAUCAUUUAUACAAUAAAUCUGUUAUUGAUUCAAUCAGUUGAAUAGUCCUCUAUUAUUUGCCUUGUCAAAUUUGAGUGGUGUUAUUAGUCAGAAAGUUAAGCUGAGGCAUUAAAAUAGCCCCACAUGUUUUGUCAUUCUCUGUUAUGUUAGGGCAAACUCUUAGAAUAAAAAAUAUAAAAAAGACAAAACCAUAAAUGUACUUCUUUGAUGAAUGUGUAUAAGAUAUACAUAGCCAUGUAAAAAUCAGCCAGAUCAAGUAGAAUGCUUCCAGAAACAAAGUCUCCCUCAUUUCUACAUUCAUUUAUUAAUGUUCCUUGAUAAAGUUCAACAAUUUUCUAAGCCUUCAUCAUAGAUUUUUUGCCUACUGCAGAAAACUAUAUAUUCCAUUGUGAUUGAUUUUUUGUACUUUAAAAUAUGUUUGUAAAAUUCAUUCAUGUUGUUGUAUGUUCUGGUAGUUCAUUCAUUUUCAUUUUCAUGUAGCAAUCCGUGUAUAAGAUAUCUGAUUUUAUGUAUUUAUUAUAUUUUUGAUGGGCAUUUGGGUUGUUUCUAAUUUGGAACUCAAAUAAUGGUGUUUGUUAGUAACAUUAUUAUUAAUGCCAUUUGCUGCAAAUAAGCUCACACAAAUCAGAAAGAAAAUGAGCUAAGCCAGUUUCAAAAUGUGAAAAAAAAUAUUGAGUAUUUACAAAAUAGGAUUUCCAUAUGGUCAAUAGACAUGUAAAAAUAUGUUCAAAAUAAUUAUUCAUUAAUAAAAUGUAAAUUAAAACCCAAUGAGAUACCACAACACACUACACAGAAUGGCAGAAAAUAGAAAGUAAUGCCAAAUAUUGGUAAGGAUAUUGAAAAACAAGAGUUUUCACAUAUUGCUGCUGAUUCUGUAAACUGAUAUAACAGCUAACUUGUAUUGUUUAACAGUAUCUAAAAAAGCUAAACAAAUGUUUCUUUCUGAUGUAAAUUUUCCAAAAAAAUUCAACAAGACAUAUGGAGAUAUGUUUAUUGUCCACUAUUCAUAAUGGCCACCUUCAUUUUCUAGGCUAUUUCAACUGGUUGUAGUAUUCUAGGUGGAUAUAUUUUCUCUCAGCCUGUCACAAAUACCAUUAAAUGUCAUCUGUUUUCAUAAUUUACGUUGAAAGAUGAAUAGUUAUUCAUAUCGUUGUUCCAUUUAAAUUAAUCUGUUUUCUGCCUCUGUUAUUGAAUUUGUUCAUUUUGUUUUAAUAACAUUAUUAGCUCUACCUAUGCAGAGUUUCCUUCCAAGGAAAUAGUUCUUUAAAUGCCGUUUCAUUAUUUUUCCUCUCUUGUACUUCAUAUACAUGCAUAGUAGAAACUUACACUGCUUCUCAUCUGUUCCUUUCUCUUUCUCUCUUAAAUAAUGCAUGCUAUGUUAUCCUCUGCUCCAUGAUAUAUGCACAUAUGUAUAUAUAUUACACUGUCUAUAUUACACUGUCUAAACAAGUUCAUGCGGUUCAUACCCGCACAAACCUCAGUUUAAAUAUCUUAACUCUCCUAUCUUUAGUUUACUAACCCCCUCUUCUGCUGGAUCUGAUCUAAUUUUUAAAACAGAUUUAUUCAAGUCUUAUCUACAUAAAAAUAAAUCUAUCAAUUGUAUUAAUUGGUAAUACAUUUAUAGAAUUGUACAAUCACAACAAUCCAUCUCUAAAACAUUUGCAUCACUCCAAACUGUUUCUUUCUACCUUUUCACACUUAAACCGUGCCUUUCCCAGACAUGGCAGCAACUAAUCUGGUUUCUGUAUCUGUACAUCUGCCUUUUCAGGUCAUUCCAAUAAAUGUAUAUCAUAUAAUACAUGGUAUUUUGUAAUUGCCUUCUUUCACUUAGCAUAAUGCUUUUGAGGUUUAUCAAUGUUGUACUAUGUAAUUAUGCUUUUUUCCCUUUGUAUUGCUGUAUAGUAUUUCACUGUCUUGAUAAACAAUGGUUCAUAGAUCCAUUUACCAGCUAAUGGACAUUUGAAUUGUUUCCACUUUUUGGCCGUUAUGAAAGUUGCUGCUAUGAACAUUCACAUUAUGUCUUUGUGUGGAAAUAUUUCUUGUUGCUUUUAUUUUUCUGGGUUGAUACCUAGGAUUGGAAUUUCUGGGGUUUAUGAUAAAUUCAUGUUUACCUUUUUUUUUUUUUUUUUUUUUUUUUGAGACAGGGUCUUUCUCU
Chlorocebus sabaeus (green monkey) is the source of this 6684-nucleotide non-coding RNA. NCBI's taxonomy places the organism in Eukaryota, Metazoa, Chordata, Mammalia, Primates, Cercopithecidae. The record is from RefSeq and is a predicted model, not a curated record.